Molecule: ribosomal RNA, 192 nt
Filed under: Glomus sp.
Lineage: Eukaryota; Fungi; Glomeromycota; Glomeromycetes; Glomerales; Glomeraceae
Description: partial small subunit ribosomal RNA
Rfam family: Eukaryotic small subunit ribosomal RNA
Source: RNAcentral
CAGCAGCCGCGGUAAUUCCAGCUCCAAUAGCGUAUAUUAAAGUUGUUGCAGUUAAAAAGCUCGUAGUUGAAUUUCGGGGUUAGUAGGUUGGUCGUGCCUCUGGUAUGUACUGGUUUUACUGAUUCCUCCCUUUUGAAGAACUGUAAUGUCAUUAAUUUGGUGUUGCGGGAAAACAGGACUGUUACUUUGAAA